This 495-nucleotide ribosomal RNA is filed under the name uncultured bacterium. RNAcentral's name for it is "partial 16S ribosomal RNA". It matches the Rfam family "Bacterial small subunit ribosomal RNA", at positions 28 to 507 of the family's 1533-position model. The record is from RNAcentral.
GACGAACGCUGGCGGCGUGCCUAAUACAUGCAAGUAGAACGCUGAAGGAGGAGCUUGCUCUUCUGGAUGAGUUGCGAACGGGUGAGUAACGCGUAGGUAACCUGCCUGGUAGCGGGGGAUAACUAUUGGAAACGAUAGCUAAUACCGCAUAACAGUAGAUGUUGCAUGACAUUUACUUAAAAGGUGCAAUUGCAUCACUACCAGAUGGACCUGCGUUGUAUUAGCUAGUUGGUGGGGUAACGGCUCACCAAGGCGACGAUACAUAGCCGACCUGAGAGGGUGAUCGGCCACACUGGGACUGAGACACGGCCCAGACUCCUACGGGAGGCAGCAGUAGGGAAUCUUCGGCAAUGGACGGAAGUCUGACCGAGCAACGCCGCGUGAGUGAAGAAGGUUUUCGGAUCGUAAAGCUCUGUUGUAAGAGAAGAAAGAGUGUGAGAGUGGAAAGUUCACACUGUGACGGUAUCUUACCAGAAAGGGACGGCUAACUACGUG